UACAGAGGGUGCAAGCGUUGUUCGGAAUUAUUGGGCGUAAAGCGCGUGUAGGCGGCUUUGCAAGUCGGGUGUGAAAGCCCUCAGCUUAACUGAGGAAGUGCGCCCGAAACUGCAGAGCUUGAGUACCGGAGAGGAUGGUGGAAUUCCAGAAGUAGAGGUGAAAUUCGUAGAUAUCUGGAGGAACACCGGUGGCGAAGGCGACCAUCUGGACGGAUACUGACGCUGAGACGCGAAAGCGUGGGUAGCAAAC
This 250-nucleotide ribosomal RNA is filed under the name uncultured bacterium. RNAcentral's name for it is "partial 16S ribosomal RNA". It matches the Rfam family "Bacterial small subunit ribosomal RNA", at positions 524 to 773 of the family's 1533-position model. The record is from RNAcentral.